RNAcentral lists this ribosomal RNA (497 nucleotides) under uncultured bacterium. RNAcentral's name for it is "partial 16S ribosomal RNA". It matches the Rfam family "Bacterial small subunit ribosomal RNA", at positions 28 to 507 of the family's 1533-position model. The record is from RNAcentral.
GAUGAACGCUGGCGGCGUGCCUAAUACAUGCAAGUCGAGCGAACAGACGAGGAGCUUGCUCCUCUGACGUUAGCGGCGGACGGGUGAGUAACACGUGGAUAACCUACCUAUAAGACUGGGAUAACUUCGGGAAACCGGAGCUAAUACCGGAUAAUAUAUUGAACCGCAUGGUUCAAUAGUGAAAGACGGUUUUGCUGUCACUUAUAGAUGGAUCCGCGCCGCAUUAGCUAGUUGGUAAGGUAACGGCUUACCAAGGCAACGAUGCGUAGCCGACCUGAGAGGGUGAUCGGCCACACUGUAACUGAGCCACGGUCCAGAGUCCUACGGGAGGCAGCAGUAGGGAAUCUUCCGCAAGGGGCGAAAGCCUGACGGAGCACCGCCGCGGGAGUGAUGAAGGUCUUCGGAUCGUAAAACUCUGUUAUUCGGGAAGAACAAAUGUGUAAGUAACUAUGCACGUCUUGACGGUACCUAAUCAGAAAACCACGGCUAACUACGUG